RNAcentral lists this ribosomal RNA (254 nucleotides) under uncultured prokaryote. Its description in RNAcentral is "partial 16S ribosomal RNA". It matches the Rfam family "Bacterial small subunit ribosomal RNA", at positions 524 to 777 of the family's 1533-position model. The record is from RNAcentral.
UACGGAGGAUGCGAGCGUUAUCCGGAUUUAUUGGGUUUAAAGGGUGCGUAGGCGGCUUUUUAAGUCAGCGGUGAAAUUUUGCAGCUUAACUGUGACAGUGCCGUUGAUACUGGGGAGCUAGGAUUUGGUUGCUGUGGGUGGAAUGUGUGGUGUAGCGGUGAAAUGCUUAGAGAUCACACAGAAUAUCGAUUGCGAAGGCAGCUCACAAAGCCAAGAUUGACGCUGAGGCACGAAAGUGUGGGGAUCAAACAGGA